GUGCAGCAGGCCACUAUUUGAAUGUGUGUUGCUCCUUGUGGCAGGUAUACUGUUCCAAUGCCCUGGGAUCUCUGUAGUGGUCGGUACUGUAUUGAUUAUAAAUGGUGAAGUCCUAGUAUCUUGCUAGAGUGAGCUGGCCAGGAUGGUGGAGCUCUACCACCAUUUCACAGGUUAUAGACAGGGGCCACCAGGUUUCAGGAAAGCAGCAAUGACCCCUCAGUAAUAGUUGGAAAGUGUGAUAUGACACUGAGCUUCACUGUGUUGGUGAAGAAGAGGUGAGGAAAAUAAAAGCUGCAGUUUGCCUCCACCUCUGAAGAAGCACAAUACACCUUUCUGGGUUACCAAUGGGAUACUUCCCAACAGCUUUGUCAUCACAUACAAUAUUCUCAAACAAGAUCUUAAUGGCAUCUACUUUCUCCAGGAACACAGCCCCUGACCUGUGUGUGUUUGCGUAGAGAAGGCAUGCUAUGUACCCCCUAGGAUAUCAAGAUUCCUGUAGCAGAUUGAGCUCUGGCAGUUGAUCUCAGUGGCUUGAUAGAGUGUCAUUAUAAAAACGCACCUGGAAGAU
RNAcentral lists this long non-coding RNA (568 nucleotides) under Homo sapiens (human). RNAcentral's name for it is "non-protein coding LINC00616:2". Lineage: Eukaryota; Metazoa; Chordata; Mammalia; Primates; Hominidae. The record is from RNAcentral.